GACGAACGCUGGCGGCGCGCCUAACACAUGCAAGUCGAACGAGAGAGAAGGAGCUUGCUUCUUCGAUCGAGUGGCGAACGGGUGAGUAACGCGUGAGGAACCUGCCUCAAAGAGGGGGACAACAGUUGGAAACGACUGCUAAUACCGCAUAAGCCCACGGGUCGGCAUCGACCAGAGGGAAAAGGAGCAAUCCGCUUUGAGAUGGCCUCGCGUCCGAUUAGCUAGUUGGUGAGGUAAUGGCCCACCAAGGCGACGAUCGGUAGCCGGACUGAGAGGUUGAACGGCCACAUUGGGACUGAGACACGGCCCAGACUCCUACGGGAGGCAGCAGUGGGGAAUAUUGCACAAUGGGGGAAACCCUGAUGCAGCGACGCCGCGUGGAGGAAGAAGGUCUUCGGAUUGUAAA
This 406-nucleotide ribosomal RNA is filed under the name uncultured bacterium. RNAcentral's name for it is "bacterial SSU rRNA". It matches the Rfam family "Bacterial small subunit ribosomal RNA", at positions 28 to 429 of the family's 1533-position model. The record is from RNAcentral.